CCUACGGGUGGCAGCAGUGAGGAAUAUUGGUCAAUGGGCGGAAGCCUGAACCAGCCAAGUCGCGUGAGGGAUUAAGGCCCUAUGGGUCGUAAACCUCUUUUGUCAGGGAGCAAUGGCGUCCACGUGUGGGCGUAUGGAGAGUACCUGAAGAAAAAGCAUCGGCUAACUACGUGCCAGCAGCCGCGGUAAUACGUAGGGGGCAAGCGUUGUCCGGAAUGACUGGGCGUAAAGGGAGUGUAGGCGGCUUAUCAAGUUAGAUGUGAAAUCCCGCGGCUUAACCGCGGAACUGCAUCUAAAACUGGUGAGCUGGAGUGCAGGAGAGGUGAGUGGAAUUCCUAGUGUAGCGGUGGAAUGCGUAGAUAUUAGGAGGAACACCAGAGGCGAAGGCGACUCACUGGACUGUAACUGACGCUGAGGCUCGAAAGCGUGGGGAGCAAACAGGAUUAGAUACCCGGGUAGUC
RNAcentral lists this ribosomal RNA (461 nucleotides) under uncultured bacterium. RNAcentral's name for it is "partial 16S ribosomal RNA". It matches the Rfam family "Bacterial small subunit ribosomal RNA", at positions 338 to 795 of the family's 1533-position model. The record is from RNAcentral.